AUUGAACGCUGGCGGUAUGCUUAACACAUGCAAGUCGAACGGUAGCAGGCCUUCGGGUGCUGACGAGUGGCGGACGGGUGAGUAACGCGUAGGAAUCUGCCUAUUAGUGGGGGACAACGUGGGGAAACCCACGCUAAUACCGCAUACGCCCCACGGGGGAAAGCGGGGGCCCUUCGGGCCUCGCGCUAAUAGAUGAGCCUGCGUUGGAUUAGCUUGUUGGUAAGGUAAUGGCUUACCAAGGCGACGAUCCAUAGCUGGUCUGAGAGGACGAUCAGCCACACUGGGACUGAGACACGGCCCAGACUCCUACGGGAGGCAGCAGUGGGGAAUAUUGGACAAUGGGCGAAAGCCUGAUCCAGCAAUACCGCGUGUGUGAAGAAGGCCUGAGGGUUGUAAAGCACUUUCAAUGGGGAGGAACACCGACUGGCUAAUACUCAGUCGCUUGACAUUACCCAUACAAGANGCACAGGAUAACUCCGUGCCAGCAGCAGCGGUAAGA
Molecule: ribosomal RNA, 499 nt
Filed under: uncultured bacterium
Lineage: Bacteria
Description: bacterial SSU rRNA
Rfam family: Bacterial small subunit ribosomal RNA
Source: RNAcentral